AGAGCGGACAGGGCGAUGGCAGGUUCGCCGGGUGUGAGGCUUCACAGCGGUCCGGUGACCAAGUCGAGGAUUUUUCUGGUGGUCUAGUCUCAGAGAUUACAUCUGUAGUCAGCACAAUGAUUCCCUUCCAAGCCCAGUGGUGCCCAGUUGCCUCCAGGUCCCAGACCUUUAUGUGGACAAGAAAAGCUUACAGAGGAAAUGGUAAUUCUCCACUUGCACACUGAGGUGUCCAGUUGCAGCCCAUGGAGAUCCAGUUCAAUUAUGAAUCUCAGGAACACCACCUUCUGUCAGAUGGUGAGAACAAGACCAAGAUUGGAAAGCCAGCUUCAGAGGAGGGAAUUACAGCAAAAAUUGAACCAUUGACAGAAGAGUCUAGCAGUCUCAGAAUGUUCUCCAGGAUUCUGAAGGCAAAGAAUUCUGUGAAUUUGGGGAUAAAUUAAAUGAAAAAGAUCAGAACGUCUUUAAAAGGAGACCUCAUAACUGUGACGAAUAUGGGCAAAGCUUUGUUUGGAGUACAAGCCUUUUUAGGCAUCGAAAAACGCACUGUGAGAAACCUUAUGAAUGGGAUAAGUGUGGAAAGGCCACUGGGGAGAAACCUUAUUCCUGUAAUUGGUGUAUUAAAAGUUUCAGUUGGAGCUCAGACCUUAUUAAACACCAAAGAGUCCACACUGGUGAAAAACCUUAUAAAUGUGAUGAGUGUGGGAAAGCCUUCAGUCAGAGCUCAGAUCUUAUUAUACAUCAGAGAAUCCAUAUAGGAGAAAAACCCUAUCAAUGCCGUCAUUGUAGUAAAAGUUUUAGCCAGCGCUCAGAUCUGGUUAAACAUCAGAGAAUCCAUACUGGAGAGAAGCCUUAUACUUGUAACCAGUGUAACAAACAUUUUAGAGUUCUGAUGUGAUAAAACAUCAAAGAAUCCACACUGGGGAGAAACCAUAUAAAUGUGAUGUGUGUGGGAAAGCCUUCAGUCAGAGCUCAGAUCUUAUUCUGCAUCAGAGAAUCCAUACUGGGGAGAAACCAUAUCCAUGUAAUCAGUGUAGCAAAAGUUUCAGUCAGAAUUCAGACCUUAUUAAACAUCGAAGGAUCCACACUGGAGAGAAACCCUAUAAAUGUAAUGAGUGUGGGAAAGCUUUUAAUCAGAGCUCAGUCCUUAUUUUACAUCAGAGGAUUCAUACUGGAGAGAAACCCUAUCCCUGUGAUCAAUGUAGCAAAACCUUCAGUAGGCUUUCAGAUCUUAUUAAUCAUCAACGAAUUCACACUGGAGAGAAGCCUUACCCAUGUAAUCAGUGCAAUAAAAUGUUUAGUCGAAGAUGAGAUCUUGUUAAACAUCACAGAAUUCAUACAGGUGAGAAACCCUAUGAAUGUGAUGAAUGUGGGAAAACCUUUAGUCAGAGCUCCAACCUUAUUCUUCAUCAGAGAAUCCACACUGGAGAGAAACCUUAUGCAUGUAGUGAUUGUACUAAAAGCUUUAGUCGCCGUUCAGAUCUUGUUAAGCAUCAAAGAAUACACACUGGAGAGAAACCAUAUGCAUGUAAUCAGUGUGAUAAAAGUUUUAGUCAAAGCUCAGACCUCACUAAACAUCAGAGAGUACACUCUGGUGAAAAGCCUUAUCAUUGCAAUAGUUGUGAGAAAGCCUUCAGUCAGAGUUCUGACCUUAUUCUUCAUCAGAGAAUUCACACUGGAGAAAAACUAUUAUCUGUGCACACAGUGCAGCAAAAGUUUCAGUCAGAUCUCAGACCUCAUUAAACACCAGAGAAUCCACACUGGGGAAAAACCAUAUAAAUGCAGUGAGUGCAGGAAGGCUUUCAGUCAGUGCUCAGCUCUUACCCUACACCAGAGAAUCCACACUGGGAAGAAACCAAAUCCAUGUGAUGAGUGUGGCAAAAGCUUUAGUCGGCGUUCUGAUCUCAUUAACCAUCAAAAAAUACACACUGGUGAAAAGCCGUAUAAGUGUGAUGCAUGUGGGAAAGCCUUCAGCACAUGUACUGAUCUUAUUGAACACCAGAAAACCCAUGCUGAGGAGAAACCCUACCAGUGUGUUCAGUGCAGCAGAAGUUGUAGCCAACUCUCUGAACUUACUAUUCAUGAGGAAGUCCAUUGUGGAGAAGACAGUCAAAAUGUGAUGAAUGUGAGAAAACCUUUAGUGUGUACACCAACUCUAUUCAGUACCAGAGACACUGUACCAGAAAAAAAUCUAAUGAAUGCUGUUGAUUAUUGAUGAGUAUGAAAAAGGUUUUAAUCAGUGUUCAACUCUUAUGCUACAUUAAAACCACACUGGAUCCGGAUACGUAUGGUGGCUCACGCCUGUAAUCCCAACACUUUGGGAGGCAGAUGUGGAAGCAUCAUUUGAGCCCAGGAGUUUGAGGCUGCAGUGAGCUAUGAUUCCACCAUUGCACUCCAGUCUGGGCAACAGAGCAAGACCCUGUCUAUUUAAAAAAAAAAAAAAACCACCAAUACCACAUGGGAGAAAACAUUAAUUCAGUUUUUGUAAUGAAAGGUUAACUCAGAGCUCAGACAUUACUAAAAUUAAGAAAAAUUCUCCAGCCUGACCAACAUGGUGAAACCCUGUCUCUACCAAAAAAUAAAAAAUAAUUAGCUGGGCAUGGUGGCAGGCGCCUGUAGUCCCAGCUAUUCGGGAGGCUGAGGCAUGAGAAUCACUUGAACCUGGGAGGUGGGGGUUGCAGGGAGCCGAGAUCUGCCACUGCAUUCCAGCCUGGGCAACAGAGUGAGACUCUCUCAAAAAAAAAAAAAAAAGAAAAAAAAACUCUGAGGAAGAGUCCUGCGAGUUGUGGGAAAACCUUCAAAGUGAAAAACAUUUUUACUGAAUGUCAGUAUACCACAAUAGAAACAAAUUUCUAUCUUUUCUAUAAGACUAGGACUCAAUGAAAUUGCUGCCCCCAUGUUCCUGAGGCUCUGCAAGCUGAAGCUUAUUUCUCAUGAUAUAGGCAAGAAAAAUGUGUCAGGUUGCCACCACCUUCCUCCCUGGGCCAGAAUUUUCUGCUCUUACGAUGCUGAUGAUUGUCUAAGAUUGCACCAUCCACCCUGGAGGUUGCUGACUCCCAUUUGAUUGCUGGCCUGCCACUCAUCCUGUGCUGUUUUCUUGGAGCCUGACCUCCUCAGUGAUUGCUGCUGGAGAGACUGAAUGGUGCAACCUGGAAGUGCGGUGUAGCUGAUGCUCUGUGGUGGAAACUGACCAGAUGGAGAGAGGAGUCUGCAGAGAAGUCUUCUCUUUCUUCCUCACCCCAUAGUAAGGUAAGAUGCAGUACUUUAGUUCACAUGGCUUGUGCCCUGAAAAUGAUCAGUGAGACUAAGCAAACAGCUGUGCCUUUAGAAGCUACAGACAGCUCAAUAACACCUACUCAUAUUUGCUUUCUCUCCUCUGCUUCACUUCUCAUUUACCUUCAGUCAUGCUUUUCUUGAAUUGCAUCACCCUAAUAUUGUCUUAGUAAUAAGGUUUUGUCUUAGGCCCUAUUUUCUCAGGAAUCCAGACUAAGACAGGUUUCAUAGUGGAGAUGUUUAUUAGGCAAAGGGAUACAUGAGUCUGAAGUUCAGAGAAGAGGUCUCUGGGCUGGGGAUAUAGAUUUUGGAUUUGUAGAUAGUAUUUAACAAGAUAAGACCAUGAAAUCAACUAGGAAGUGGAUAUAGCUAGAAAAGAAAAGAGAGCUGAACACUGAGCCCUCAGGCACUCCAAUAUGUAGAAAGAAGUCCAGAGAGGUGAGGAAAUACCAGCAUUGAGACUGAGAAGAAACAGCUCAUGAGGUAGAGAGAAAUCAAGAGUGUUGUUCUGGAAGCCAAACUAAAAUAUGUCAAUUAUACAAAAUACUAUUCAUUGGUAAGCAAUGUAAGUCUGAGAAAUGAGAAUUGGAAUCAUCAACACUGAGGUUAUCAAACUUGGCUAGAACUCUAUGUUGAGAAAAAUUGUAUAAUAUAUAAUAAUGUCACACCUCUCACUCCUGAUAUAAUUUGUAUCUUCUUUUUCUCCUGAUCAGUUUGGCUAGAAGUUUAUCAAUUUUACUAUUAUUUUUACAAGAUACUUUUGGUUUAAAUUGAGUAUAGAAAUUCAUUUUUUGCUCGUUUUUCCGUUUCCUAUUUUAUUGAUUUCAAAUCUAAUCUUUAUUUCUUUUCCUCUCUUUAUCUUGGGUUUACUUUAUUCUUAUUCUAUCUUAUUAAGUUGGAAGCUGAGGUAAUUGAGAAAUUUUUUCUACUAUAAUUGCUUUAUUGCUAUGAAUUUCCCUCUAAGUAAUACUUUGACUGUAUCUCAUAGAUGAUGAUGAAGUUAAUGAUGAUGAUAAUAAUUUUAAUAUAUAUUUUUUGAAGAACUGUUUUAGGUUCACAGCAAAAUGGAGCAGAAGGUACAGAGAUUUCCCAUAUACGCCCUACCCCGACACAUGCAUAGCCUCCUCCAUUGUCAACAUCCCCCACCAGAGUGGUAUAUUUGUUACAACUGAUGAACCUACGUUAACACUACAUUAUCACCCCAAAUCCAUAAUUUACAUUAGGGUUCACUUUUGGUGGUGUACACUACAAGGGUUUGGACAAAUUUAUAAUGACAUAUAUCUACUAUUAUAAUAUAUACAGU
Long non-coding RNA from Homo sapiens (human), 4573 nucleotides. Ensembl annotates it as zinc finger protein 271, pseudogene. Its record names the gene ZNF271P. NCBI's taxonomy places the organism in Eukaryota, Metazoa, Chordata, Mammalia, Primates, Hominidae. The record is from Ensembl.